RNAcentral lists this ribosomal RNA (512 nucleotides) under uncultured bacterium. RNAcentral describes it as "partial 16S ribosomal RNA". It matches the Rfam family "Bacterial small subunit ribosomal RNA", at positions 28 to 523 of the family's 1533-position model. The record is from RNAcentral.
GAUGAACGCUGGCGGCAUGCCUAAUACAUGCAAGUCGAACGAGAGGAAGGAAAGCUUGCUUUUCUGAAUCUAGUGGCGAACGGGUGAGUAACACGUAGGUAACCUGCCCAUGUGCCCGGGAUAACUUCUGGAAACGGAUGCUAAAACCGGAUAGGUAGCAGACAAGCAUUUGACUGCUAUUAAAGUGGCUAAGGCCAUGAACAUGGAUGGACCUGCGGUGCAUUAGCUAGUUGGUGAGGUAACGGCCCACCAAGACGACGAUGCAUAGCCGGCCUGAGAGGGCGGACGGCCACAUUGGGACUGAGACACGGCCCAAACUCCUACGGGAGGCAGCAGUAGGGAAUUUUCGUCAAUGGGGGGAACCCUGAACGAGCAAUGCCGCGCGAGUGAGGAAGGUCUUCGGAUCGUAAAGCUCUGUUGUAAGAGAAAAACGACAUUCAUAGGGAAUGAUGAGUGAGUGAUGGUAUCUUACCAGAAAGUCACGGCUAACUACGUGCCAGCAGCCGCCGCGG